AUUUUAGGACUCUAAACAAUGCGCUUCGCUAUUAUAGGACUCCAAACGUCGACUUCGCUAAAACGACACUUGAAACGUGGGUACUUUGUUAUACAUGACAUUUGGUUAUUUCAAUCGCUUUUCUCAACUAAAAUACAUGUAUUUUUCCUUCAUGUUAUCGUAUUGCCCUUCUGUCUUCGAUUGACGUGAACCGAUCGGUCCUCCUGCCCGACGCCGUUUCAUCUAUCCCUCGAUGCGUCGUUCCUCCUUCCCCGACGCCGCUAUUCCUCCUUCCUCCCACCCAACGCCAUGGAUGGAGAGGAGCCAGAUGGAGCCCGUGACACAGGCCAUGGUCCCGAUCAGCUUCAGGUUACCCUUUCCCACCAUCUGCUCCAGGCACUCGCGCGGCAACCUGAUGAAGCCCAAGUCCACGGCGGUGUCGCUGGUGGUGUGCAGGUCACAAUACAUGAAGCCUCGCGAGAGAUUGGCCUAGAAACCCUUGCCUUGGAAAGAGAAGGCCACGUCUGGAU
RNAcentral lists this long non-coding RNA (509 nucleotides) under Setaria viridis. RNAcentral's name for it is "long non-coding RNA (SVIR_LNC001384)". The record is from RNAcentral. Lineage: Eukaryota; Viridiplantae; Streptophyta; Magnoliopsida; Poales; Poaceae.